Small nucleolar RNA from Juglans microcarpa x Juglans regia, 95 nucleotides. The record is from RefSeq and is a predicted model, not a curated record. Lineage: Eukaryota; Viridiplantae; Streptophyta; Magnoliopsida; Fagales; Juglandaceae.
GAAGAUGAUGAAUAUGCAUGCACGGGGCUCCGAGCAGUUGAUUAUCAGUUGUUUUAUUGAUGGACAAUGCAGCCCUAGAAAGUUAUAUCUGAUGU